Molecule: transfer RNA, 73 nt
Filed under: Capra hircus (goat)
Lineage: Eukaryota; Metazoa; Chordata; Mammalia; Artiodactyla; Bovidae
Also listed under: 1 other name
Rfam family: tRNA
About the family: Transfer RNA (tRNA) molecules are approximately 80 nucleotides in length.
Source: Rfam by way of RNAcentral
UGUCUGGUGGUCCAGUGGCUAGGACUCUGCACCCUCAAUGCAGGGGGUCCAGGUUUGAUCCCUGGUCAAGGAA